AUGACUCCGGCGGUAGGAGGUGGGCUAGGUUGGGGUGGGUCGAGUGAAGUAGGCCGUAGGCGCGUCACCCCUAUAAGACCCGGGUCGUACAGGGCGAUCAAUCCCCAAAUCCCCAGUCCUCUUUCCUUCUCCCGUUCGCUCGCCGCCGCCGCCGCCCACGACCACGACCGCCGGCGGCAGCAGCCAUGCGGCACAUGGCGCUUCCUCCUCGCCCCAUCCGCACAUGUCGCCCGUCAGAUGCUCUGUCACGUCGCGCGGUCAGUCAUGGUGAGGAACAAGAACGAGCUGUUGUCGACGGCGGCGGAGCGGCACGACGGUGCUCAUCCUCACAGCAGGCACACCGGCUACUCGUCCAGCCUCUCCAUGACGCUGUGGAAUCUGUUGACAGAACAACAUGUGCCAAGAUGCAGCCAGCAGCUCCAGCCCCAUGUGCCAAGAUGCGUCCAGCAGGUCAAACGUCAAGGUAACCCGGCCACAUCCGACAGAGCCAAACUGAGGAGGGUGGCCAUGGACGAAGCGCCGGUGGGUAGCAAUGGACGAGCAGAGGAGUUUGCGAGCUGCCAGGGCGCCGUGGAACGCGGUCGUGAACGGCAGGGGAGAGCUGCGGGGGGCGCUGGCCGCGGCCGCGGCGAGCUUGCCGGAGAAGCGAGCAAACGAGUUGCGCUGCGGGCGACGGCGGCGGCGGCGAGCGAACGGGAGAAGGAAAGGGGACCUGAGGAUUUGGGGAAUUCGGCGAGGCUGACGGGAAUCAGGAGGAAACUGGCAAUUUAUUCUGCACAUCCGGGGCUUAUUCUGCUAACACCCUACCCAUCGCUCAAAACACACCCAAUCCCCUCCGACCUCCUCCCGCACAGAACCCCGCAGCCCCAAUCCUCCUCCUGCCUCCUUCCUCCUCGAGCCGCCGGAUCCCCACCCCACCACGCGCCGCUGGAGCCCCGUCUCGCCACGCGCCGCCGGAGCCCCGCCCCGCGCUGCUGGAGCCCAGCCCCAUCCCGCCGCUGCCGCCCAGCCCAGGUACCAACGGAUCCGGCGACAUCCCCAUCGCCAGCCACACAAUCUCCACCGGCGCAGUGGAGCAGCACCACCACCGUGGCCGUGGGCGUGCGAGGGGAUCCCGGGGCUAGUGCGGCCAUGGCCUGGAGCUCGCCCCUCCUCCUGCGCGGGGACGCCAGCUACCGCAGAGCCCAGCUACCAACGGGUCCUGCCGGAUCCCCAGCGCCAGGCACGCCACCUCCUGUUGCAGUCCUCCCUCCCUGUUGCAGGCCAGGCGUCCCGGGCUUCAAGUGCGCCGGGGCACGCGAUGCGGUUUGGCGCGCGUGGCCGUGCAGGUGCAUCACCCCCACUCCCAACAACCACGAGCAGCAGCGCGUAUGGCAGUGGACACAACCGAGUACCCUUCUCCUCUGCUCCCUUCCCCAGCCAACAUCCAUCGAGUUCUUCCCUCUAAUUCUACGGACGAGCUGCACAGAACUGCAGUCAUCCCGAGCCUACCGCCGAGGAGCCGGCGAGCGCGCCCGCGGCGCCACCGCCUACCUCAACCUCGAACCGGGCGACUACUACGGGGACAGCACCGCCGUCUCCUCCCUCGUGCAGUCAUACGCAUUCAGGCAAGAAGAGGAUGAAGAUCUCCACACCUGCCCCCAUGCAGUUCACUCGACGCGCCCGUGUGGUGCGGAGCGCAUCUGCGUGCAGUACGCCUGCCAACCAACUCCACCACGCCCACAGUCCACUCCGUGGUCCAAUGCAAUCCGACGACUCGAUGCAUGCAGCUCGCAUGGUGCGUGUGUGCAGUUUUCAGGCUCGCAGGUGUGUGGUUCUACCAACAACCAACUCCACCGCGGCCCAGCACUCACGCCGGGGAGCUCCUGGACUUCAGCGUCGAGGUGUUCAACAACUGACGCAGAGAUUGGAACGGACACGGCCGCCUUUCCUCAUCGUCUUCAUUGGAAAGCACACCUAGUGGCUGCUCGCGGGCGUGCUACGUGCCGUUCGGCAUCAGCAGCAAUGCGGUUCAGAAUCGCGGUUUGCUUCUGGGUGGCCAAAGGCAGCGACAAUCCAUGA
RNAcentral lists this ribosomal RNA (2061 nucleotides) under Triticum aestivum (bread wheat). RNAcentral describes it as "partial small subunit ribosomal RNA". Lineage: Eukaryota; Viridiplantae; Streptophyta; Magnoliopsida; Poales; Poaceae. The record is from RNAcentral.